AUGUGAUAAUAAACAAACAAAUCUAAACUAACAAAUGUCAAAUCAUAUUUUACGCCAAGAUGGCCAGUCAAUUUGAGUAACGUUAUUGUGUAUUCUACGUAAUGACGCGGUUUUACGUUAUUAUGUAAUGACGUCAUCACGCAAUGACAUCACAAUGUAAUUUAGCUACUUUUAGCAACAAAUCGACCUGCCCCUAGCAACUUCCCUUGAAAGUUAGUUGGCAACACUGAGUGGCAAUGCUAAUGCUGGUGAUGGCACGGGCAAAGUGCAGCAUUUACCAGAAACAAACCCCUGGCAAGUAAUGUCGAAUUCCAGCCUCCUCUGGUGGAGUUAAGACCUGCCAUGGUGAACUGACAGUAAGAGAGGAGCUGAAAGAAACCAGCCAGCACUACUCUGCUCUGGGUGAGAGGUUUGAUUUGGGCCGGGGGAAUUGGUGGCCCAGCAGGUCUGCCUGGUCUGCUUGCCUGCCUGUGUAUCCAUCGAUGGAAGUGUCUCUCACCUCUGGCCAUCUAGCGGUUCCUCCUGCCUCCUCCUCCUUUUCGACCUACCGACCGUCAGUCCGCUGAAUGGUAAUUCCCCCUGAUAACCUUGGGCUGGGAAGGCGGAGUAGGGAGAGAAGGGGAGGAGGAAGAGCGAAAGAGGCUCCCGCUCCGUUGGUCUGAGCCCGGUGAGGUGAUCGGUGUGUGGACAGGAGCCAGGCCAAUCUAGCCAUCAAUUGGGCCGUCAGCCGCCCAGCCAACGGGAGACACACUGCUAAUGCAUGGCAUUGGUCACCACGCUGCUGAAACAGCCAUGUAAUUAUAUCUCAGGGCAGGGGGCACAGGCAGUGCCAGGGAGCGAGGAGUGGAGAGGCCUUUGGACAGGGGUAUUGGACUGGAAGGAGAGUCAGUGAUUUUGCCUCUUUGCUGCCAUUUUGGUCAAUACAAUCGCUAGAGCCUGAAAAAUGAAAUCCCCCACCAAUAUUUCAGUUUGUUUUUGAAAGCUAAAUAAAGGUCAAAGAGCGCGUCGAGCUGUCACGCCCCAGCGCCACCAUGGAGGGGCUCUCCUCGCCCACCUGGCCUAGCUCGCCUAGCUGGCCGUUACCCACAAGGCACCUGGACAGGAGAGGGACCCGCAGGCAGGAGGGCCAGAGGGGGAAGAGUGAAGGAGUGUCAGCUUGACUGCAGGAGUCUAGCUGGAGGAACAGCAGCAGCUGUGUGAGAGGGAGAGAAGAGAUCCAGAAGAGGGUGCCACUGAUCAAAAUGUGAGCGCAACACACCGCACCGUUCCUCUUCCCCUUCCUUCUUUCCUCCCUUCCUCUUCCUGGUUCUGUUCAUCAUCCUCCUCCUCUCUGGAAACCCACCCAGAACCCUCCACCCACGGUACCUACCCCAGCCUCAACCAAAGCUCAUAAAGUCCUUCCCUGGAGGUCAAACCCCCUCUCCUCAGUACAGUAGAAGAGUGUUAAUUACGUCCAAGUAAGUCCCGCUCUGAGAAAGGCAGGAGAGAGAGAAAGACAUGAAUAAAAGUCUCCA
This 1514-nucleotide long non-coding RNA is filed under the name Salmo salar (Atlantic salmon). RNAcentral's name for it is "lncRNA (ENSSSAG00000120135.1)". The record is from RNAcentral. Lineage: Eukaryota; Metazoa; Chordata; Actinopteri; Salmoniformes; Salmonidae.